RNAcentral lists this ribosomal RNA (253 nucleotides) under uncultured bacterium. RNAcentral describes it as "partial 16S ribosomal RNA". It matches the Rfam family "Bacterial small subunit ribosomal RNA", at positions 524 to 776 of the family's 1533-position model. The record is from RNAcentral.
UACGGGGGGGGCAAGCGUUGUUCGGAAUUACUGGGCGUAAAGGGCUCGUAGGUGGCCAACUAAGUCAGACGUGAAAUCCCUCAGCUUAACUGGGGAACUGCGUCUGAUACUGGAUGGCUUGAGUUUGGGAGAGGGACGCGGAAUUCCAGGUGUAGCGGUGAAAUGCGUAGAUAUCUGGAGGAACACCGGUGGCGAAGGCGGCGACCUGGGUAGAUACUGACGCUGAGGUGCGAAAGCGUGGGGAGCAAACAGG